Molecule: transfer RNA, 67 nt
Filed under: Thenus orientalis
Lineage: Eukaryota; Metazoa; Arthropoda; Malacostraca; Decapoda; Scyllaridae
Also listed under: 1 other name
Description: tRNA-Lys
Source: RNAcentral
CACCCGAUGACUGAAAUGAUAAGUGUAGGUCUUUUAAACCUAUUAUGGUACACUCUACCUCUGGUGG